UGCGUGCUUCUUGUGAUUAUGAUAUCCACAGCGCACAUCCCUACACGCACACACUCGUACGGGCACGACCAGCGAAGGUACGGAUCUUUUUUUUUCUCGUUGUGCUGUUGCGUACCUCUCUGUGCUCGUCGACCGCGCAGCUCGUCCCUCUUUACCGUCGCCUUUGCUUGUCAUUUCUGCCCGAAGUGUCGGCCCGCAUCAGAAUGCGUGGUGUGGCAGUGUGUCGUGUGGGCACCACGGCUACAUUGUGCUCUUCUUCCAUGCUUGCUUCGCCCUCCCUGAUGUCGGUAAACCGAGCCCUUCGCACUAAGGUUGGUAUCAACACGAGUGAGCGUCUGCGCGCCGCUGAGCGGGAUGAGCCAGCCACCAGCUCUGCACGGCCGCCGCCGUCGGCGAUGGACCUGUCGUACAUUACGGGCAAGAUGCCCGACACCCUCGCAGCUUACCAGACCGAGCGUGCAGUGUGGUCCGCAACGACGUUCCGGUCGGCGUGGAGCAAGCUGCACAAGGCCUACGCGUCCUUUCUCGAGACGGACCCGGCGCGCGCCGCAGAGCUGCGGGCAAAAGAUUGGCAGGGCCUCGCGCUGUACAACGCGUACGCGGAGACGUUGCAUCUUAUGUCUCUCCUCCCCGCCACCCUGCGCACAGCCAUCACGCAGCACCCCUCCUUCGAUUACACUGAGGUGGAGGAGUUGUUUGUACACUUGGGCCAGGACGUCGAGGUACGCGGCAGUGGCGGGUGGGUCAUUCAGCUGCCGCCUCCGACGACGGCAGACCUGCAAUACCUCGUGAAGCACAUCGGCCGCUUUGGCGCCGACGGCCGCGGUUGUGUGGCGAACACAGCACACCGCGCUUCGGCCUGGCGCGGCCGCUUCGGCGAGGCGCUCGGUGUGACACUGCGAGUGGGGCGCUAUGUGCCAGGUGCAGCCCGCGCACUUUUGCCGCUCGCACAGCGCGGUAGUCUUCUCAUUCUGUCCAAAGCGGGUAUGGGCAAGACAACUAUCUUGCGCGACCUCGCCGCCGCGCUAGCGCAGGAGCCGGGAACGCCGCGCGUCACGGUCGUCGACACCUCCAACGAGAUCGGCGGCGACGGCCCCAUACCUCUGCCCUACCUCGGCCGAUGCCGUCGCAUCCAGGUUGCCCGACGCGAGGACCAGGGCCGUGUAAUGAUGGAAGUGAUUCAGAAUCACACGCCAGAGUAUCUCAUCGUGGACGAAAUCGCGACGGAGGAAGAGGCGGAGGCUGCCUGGUCUAUAUCGCAACGCGGCGUUCAUCUGAUCGGCACGUGCCACGGCGAGCACCUUGAGGGGCUUUUACAGAACCGUGCGUUGAACCUCCUCGUCGGUGGCGCCGCGCAGGCGUUUCUGAGCAACGAGGAGCGGCGUCUGCGCAACAAGACAAAGAAGACGGUGCUGGAGCGGCCGUACAGCUCGCCAUUUUCCUUUCUCGUCGAGCUGCAUGCGCGAAACCGAGGCCACCUCUACGUGGACGUAAACAAGGCGGUGGAUCUGGUGCUCGAUGAGCAGCCCGCGCAGUUGAACGCCGCAGUUGGCGCCGCAGUCGAGCUCAGCGCACUCCUUCCGAGCCGAGUGGAGAAGCUCUUGCGGUUGCAAGAGGAGAGAAAGCGGAAGCUCACAUAUGUUGCAGGCACGGACACGAACGACGACGAGGUUGACGAGGAAGACGAUGGCACGGCGACAUUUUCAAGUGCGACCCGGGGCACGGUGUACGAGGACGGCUACACGCUGCUGACUGACGAUGGUAAAGAUCCAGAGAGCAACCCCAGCAUUGCCUCCUCGACGUAUGCGGCGGCGAACCAUGCAAGUGGUCGCCGCCCACACUGGCAGGCCGAAAAGCAGCGGCGACACCGCAAGACGGACGAGGAGCUUUACAGGGAGCUGAAAGGCUUCUUCUGAGAUGGCUGCCUCUUGGGCGCCAAAGACUGCCCGGUGCACGAAUGCGGGCGGGCGCACCACGUGAUGAGAGAAUGCUGAGGUGACGAGGCGUUGAUGUGGCUUAAAGGUUUCCAUAACGGCGUCACGCAUAACUCGGAGGCUGUGCGGCAGCGUGCGUCCGUGUGUCUGUUGGAUCGCUCCGAUCUGCCGAUGAUGCCUUCUCUCUCUCUCUCUUCGUUCUUUUUUUUUAUCUGCUCACUUCUCACCCAG
This 2165-nucleotide unclassified non-coding RNA is filed under the name Leishmania donovani. Its description in RNAcentral is "gene:LdHU3.30.2830(CDS-product:hypothetical_prote in_conserved)". The record is from RNAcentral. Lineage: Eukaryota; Euglenozoa; Kinetoplastea; Trypanosomatida; Trypanosomatidae.